This is a long non-coding RNA of Nicotiana tabacum (common tobacco), 501 nucleotides long. RefSeq lists it as uncharacterized. NCBI's taxonomy places the organism in Eukaryota, Viridiplantae, Streptophyta, Magnoliopsida, Solanales, Solanaceae. The record is from RefSeq and is a predicted model, not a curated record.
ACCCCCAUAAAAAAUAGAAGCAGACUUUACCCUCUCCUAAGCUUCUCAAAACUCUCUCUACCCUCUCCGUAUAUAUGAGUUUUAGCUUUCAAUUGUUUGGUCAAAACUAUAGGGGAAAUCCAAAAAUCCAAGUAAUUUUGUUCGAUAAGGAGGAGAAAAUAGCACUAUUAUAUACUUGUAAUAGAGAGCAAAAAUUGCAGUAGUAGAAGAAGAUGGAUGUAAUUGUCAUUUCAUUGCCUUUGGUCAUAUUGAUAUUGAUCGUAGCUGUUGUUUGUUAUCUAUGUGGAAGAUCGUGUUAAUUAAUAAUACAUGGAUUAUGAACCCUACGAAGAAGAAGAGGAAAUUCAGAGAGAAAGAUGUAAUUUUAUUUAGUAAUGUGUAUUGAAAAUGAAAAGUAUGUUUAAGUAGAUUCAGAUUCAGAUUCAAGGUUAUGAGUAAAAUUUAUUAUAUGUAAGUGAAUUUGUCAAUUAAUAUAGUUGAACUUAUAGCUUGUUUGGUCAA